GAUGAACGCUAGCUACAGGCUUAACACAUGCAAGUCGUGGGGCAUCAUGAUGUAGUAAUACAUUGAUGGCGACCGGCGCACGGGUGAGUAACGCGUAUCCAACCUACCCUCCACUCAAGUAUAGGCUUCCGAAAGGGAGAUUAAUCCUUGAUAUCGUCAUUCUCUCUCCUGUUAGAAUGAUAAAAGGACAUCGUUUCGGUAGAGGAUGGGGAUGCGUUCCAUUAGGUAGUAGGUGGUUUAACAGGCCACCUAGCCGAUGAUGGAUAGGGGUUCUGAGAGGAAUAUCCCCCACACUGGUACUGAGAUACGGACCAGACUCCUACGGGAGGCAGCAGUGAGGAAUAUUGGCCAAUGGGCGCAAGCCUGAACCAGCCAUGUAGCGUGAAGGAUGACGGUUUUUUUGAUUGUAAACUUCUUUUCUGUGCG
Molecule: ribosomal RNA, 426 nt
Filed under: Bacteroidetes bacterium oral taxon 272
Lineage: Bacteria; Pseudomonadati; Bacteroidota
Description: bacterial SSU rRNA
Rfam family: Bacterial small subunit ribosomal RNA
Source: RNAcentral